Molecule: transfer RNA, 72 nt
Filed under: Anguilla anguilla (European eel)
Lineage: Eukaryota; Metazoa; Chordata; Actinopteri; Anguilliformes; Anguillidae
Description: tRNA-OTHER
Source: RNAcentral
GCAUGGUGGUGCAGUGGGUAGCACUGUUGGAUCUUAGCAAGAAGGUCUUAGGUUCGAAUCCUGGCCUGGGCC